GGGGCUAUAGCUCAGUGGUAGAGCACAUGCUUUGCAUGUAGAAGGCCCCUGAUUCAACCUCUGCCACCUCCA
This is a non-coding RNA of Podarcis lilfordi (Lilford's wall lizard), 72 nucleotides long. NCBI's taxonomy places the organism in Eukaryota, Metazoa, Chordata, Lepidosauria, Squamata, Lacertidae. The record is from the annotation of a GenBank genome assembly.